UCGAUGAAGAACGUAGCAAAAUGCGAUACUUGGUGUGAAUUGCAGAAUCCCGUGAACCAUCGAGUUUUUGAACGCAAGUUGCGCCCAAAGCCAUUUGGUUGAGGGCACGUCUGCCUGGGCGUCACGU
RNAcentral lists this ribosomal RNA (127 nucleotides) under Paranephelius ovatus x Paranephelius uniflorus. RNAcentral's name for it is "partial 5.8S ribosomal RNA". It matches the Rfam family "5.8S ribosomal RNA", at positions 33 to 154 of the family's 154-position model. Rfam says of the family: 5.8S ribosomal RNA (5.8S rRNA) is a component of the large subunit of the eukaryotic ribosome. The record is from RNAcentral. Lineage: Eukaryota; Viridiplantae; Streptophyta; Magnoliopsida; Asterales; Asteraceae.